Molecule: transfer RNA, 69 nt
Filed under: Ictidomys tridecemlineatus (thirteen-lined ground squirrel)
Lineage: Eukaryota; Metazoa; Chordata; Mammalia; Rodentia; Sciuridae
Description: Spermophilus tridecemlineatus (thirteen-lined ground squirrel) tRNA
Rfam family: tRNA
About the family: Transfer RNA (tRNA) molecules are approximately 80 nucleotides in length. Their secondary structure includes four short double-helical elements and three loops (D, anti-codon, and T loops).
Source: Rfam by way of RNAcentral
GGGGUUAUGGCUCAGCGGUAGAGCACUUGCCUCGUAUAUGCAAGGCCCUGGGUUCGAUCCUCAGUACCA